AUUAGUGCAAUUUGGGGACUUGUAAUUAUUGACUUUCCAUUAAGCAUCUACUUGGAAUAUCCUGUUAUUAAGUAAUUAAUCACACUCUAGAACCAUGUAAUCAUGGAAGAAUCUAAGUGGAAGCUUUUGUGAACAAAAUCCCUAGACUUGCUCCAGGCCCUUGCUCUUUCCCAUUGCAGUGAGCAAGGAUUUUGGUUUUGGAAGAGGCUGGGAUAGGAAAUCAGCAAACACUUCCGUGGCUCAGCAUGCAUAGCUGGGCCCUCUCAUCCCCCCGAAAUGGGCAUGGUCCCUGGGAGCAGGGAGCUGGACCUUCUCUAGGUGCUCUUGUACAAGAGGUCCAAGAGCCUGCUUGAACAUAGAUGUGAUGAUUUUCCCCAGCGGUAGUCCCCCCAGGAGCAGGGAGCUGGACCUUCUCUCAUGUCCAAGAGAUGCAUAAGAGCCUACUUGAACAUAGAUGUGAUGACUUUCCCCAGGGGUAGUCCCCCCACAAGCAGGGAGUGGGACCUUCUCUAGGUGCUCUUGUACAAGAGGUGCACAAGAGCCUGCUUGAGCACAGAUGUGAUGACUUUCCCCAGGGGUAGUCCCCUCAGGAGCAGGGAGCUGAACCUUCUCUAGG
Molecule: long non-coding RNA, 616 nt
Organism: Antechinus flavipes (yellow-footed antechinus)
Lineage: Eukaryota; Metazoa; Chordata; Mammalia; Dasyuromorphia; Dasyuridae
Exons: 3
Source: RefSeq, a predicted model, not a curated record